This 25-nucleotide small RNA is filed under the name Arabidopsis thaliana (thale cress). RNAcentral describes it as "ATSL058880". The record is from RNAcentral. Lineage: Eukaryota; Viridiplantae; Streptophyta; Magnoliopsida; Brassicales; Brassicaceae.
AAAGAACAAAAGAGAUGUCAAAAAC